This 253-nucleotide ribosomal RNA is filed under the name uncultured bacterium. RNAcentral's name for it is "partial 16S ribosomal RNA". It matches the Rfam family "Bacterial small subunit ribosomal RNA", at positions 524 to 776 of the family's 1533-position model. The record is from RNAcentral.
UACGGAGGGUGCAAGCGUUGUUCGGAUUUAUUGGGCGUAAAGGGCGUGUAGGCGGUUCGUUAAGUCUGAUGUGAAAGCCCCGGGCUCAACCCGGGAAGUGCAUUGGAAACUGGCGAACUUGAGUACGGGAGAGGGCAGUGGAAUUCCUAGUGUAGGAGUGAAAUCCGUAGAUAUUAGGAGGAACACCGGUGGCGAAGGCGGCUGCCUGGACCGAUACUGACGCUGAGGAGCGAAAGCGUGGGGAGCGAACAGG